GAUGAACGCUGGCGGCGUGCUUAACACAUGCAAGUCGAACGGAAAGGCCCUUGCUUGCAGGGGUACUCGAGUGGCGAACGGGUGAGUAACACGUGGGUGAUCUGCCCUGCACUUCGGGAUAAGCCUGGGAAACUGGGUCUAAUACCGGAUAGGACCAUCGUUUAGUGUCGGUGGUGGAAAGUUUUUUCGGUGUGGGAUGAGCUCGCGGCCUAUCAGCUUGUUGGUGGGGUAAUGGCCUACCAAGGCGUCGACGGGUAGCCGGCCUGAGAGGGUGUACGGCCACAUUGGGACUGAGAUACGGCCCAGACUCCUACGGGAGGCAGCAGUGGGGAAUAUUGCACAAUGGGCGCAAGCCUGAUGCAGCGACGCCGCGUGGGGGAUGACGGCCUUCGGGUUGUAAACUCCUUUCGUCAGGGACGAAGCGAAAGUGACGGUACCUGGAGAAGAAGCACCGGCUAACUACGUG
Molecule: ribosomal RNA, 466 nt
Filed under: uncultured bacterium
Lineage: Bacteria
Description: partial 16S ribosomal RNA
Rfam family: Bacterial small subunit ribosomal RNA
Source: RNAcentral